CGCUGGCGGCGCGUCUAAGCAUGCAAGUCGGACGGCAAGGGGAGCUUGCUCCCCCUAGGAGUGGCGGACUGGUGAGUAACGCGUGGGUGACCUACCCUUGAGAUGGGGAUAGCCAUUAGAAAUAGUGGAUAAUACCGAAUACGCUCUUUUUGCUGUGGCGAGAAGAGGAAACAGGCUACGGCCUGGCUCGAGGAUGGGCCCGCGUCCCAUUAGCUAGUUGGUGAGGUAACGGCCCACCAAGGGCGACGAUGGGUAUCCGGCCUGAGAGGGUGUACGGACACAUUGGGACUGAGAUACGGCCCAAACUCCUACGGGAGGCAGCAGCUAAGAAUAUUCCGCAAUGGACGAAAGUCUGACGGAGCGACGCCGCGUGGAUGAAGAAGGCCCGAAAGGUUGUAAAAUCCUUUUGCUGAUGAAGAAUAAGUGGUGUAGGGAAUGACAUCAUGAUGACAUUAGUCGGUGAAUAAGCCCCGGCUAACUACGUGCCAGCAGCGGC
This 496-nucleotide ribosomal RNA is filed under the name uncultured bacterium. RNAcentral's name for it is "bacterial SSU rRNA". It matches the Rfam family "Bacterial small subunit ribosomal RNA", at positions 34 to 518 of the family's 1533-position model. The record is from RNAcentral.